Molecule: long non-coding RNA, 201 nt
Filed under: Elaeis guineensis (African oil palm)
Lineage: Eukaryota; Viridiplantae; Streptophyta; Magnoliopsida; Arecales; Arecaceae
Description: long non-coding RNA (EGUI_LNC075696)
Source: RNAcentral
AUUGGAUUAGAGACUUUUGCACAAAUAUUGUGAUGUGCACAGGCCAUAACGGUUGGGUCAAAAACCUAUCCACAACUUCACCACCUGUAGAUUGUGACCUGCCCACUUUAAAUGAACUUUUUUAUUUUUUCCUAAUUAGUUUAUGACUCUUGUUUAAUAUGCUAAUAUGUAGCCUCUUCAUAAAGAUCCAACAUGUGGUAC